UUGAAUUGAAGCUAUAAUUUCUUUUUUCCUUAUUUUUUGGGGUUUUGGAGGGGGAAAGCUUUGAACUUUGUCUCUGCUGCAGAGUGCUAAUAAAGCGAGAAAAAAGAGGGAUCUGCGAGCGGGUUCAGAGCAGAAGUUGAUAAAAAAGAAACCACGAUCGACGAUGUUACACUUUUGUCGCUAUCGGGUGUGGUGAUAGAACUGGAGUUCUUAAUGCUACAUCAUCAGUGAAAGAAACUCUGCAAGCAGCUGGAAUAAAGGUCAAGGUUGAUGACUCUGAUCAGAGAACACCUGGAUGGAAAUAUAACUUUUAGGAGAUGGAAGGGAGUACCUCUAAGGAUUGAGAUUCGACCUCGUGAUGUGUCUACUGGGACUGAAGUCAUUUCCAGAAGAGAUAUUCCUGGAAAACAAGGAAAAGAUUUCGGGAUAUCAAUGGAUUCUUUCAUUUUAAUUGCUUAUGUUAAAGGGUUGUUGGAUGAGAUUCAAAGUUGCCUGCCGGAGAGGCAACCACUUCAAUUCAUGAGCUUUU
Coffea arabica (coffee) is the source of this 529-nucleotide non-coding RNA. Lineage: Eukaryota; Viridiplantae; Streptophyta; Magnoliopsida; Gentianales; Rubiaceae. The record is from RefSeq and is a predicted model, not a curated record.